Molecule: ribosomal RNA, 680 nt
Filed under: uncultured Bacilli bacterium
Lineage: Bacteria; Bacillati; Bacillota; Bacilli
Description: bacterial SSU rRNA
Rfam family: Bacterial small subunit ribosomal RNA
Source: RNAcentral
GAGCUUGCUCCACCGGAAAAAGAGGAGUGGCGAACGGGUGAGUAACACGUGGGUAACCUGCCCAUCAGAAGGGGAUAACACUUGGAAACAGGUGCUAAUACCGUAUAACAAUCGAAACCGCAUGGUUUUGAUUUGAAAGGCGCUUUCGGGUGUCGCUGAUGGAUGGACCCGCGGUGCAUUAGCUAGUUGGUGAGGUAACGGCUCACCAAGGCCACGAUGCAUAGCCGACCUGAGAGGGUGAUCGGCCACAUUGGGACUGAGACACGGCCCAAACUCCUACGGGAGGCAGCAGUAGGGAAUCUUCGGCAAUGGACGAAAGUCUGACCGAGCAACGCCGCGUGAGUGAAGAAGGUUUUCGGAUCGUAAAACUCUGUUGUUAGAGAAGAACAAGGAUGAGAGUAACUGUUCAUCCCUUGACGGUAUCUAACCAGAAAGCCACGGCUAACUACGUGCCAGCAGCCGCGGUAAUACGUAGGUGGCAAGCGUUGUCCGGAUUUAUUGGGCGUAAAGCGAGCGCAGGCGGUUUCUUAAGUCUGAUGUGAAAGCCCCCGGCUCAACCGGGGAGGGUCAUUGGAAACUGGGAGACUUGAGUGCAGAAGAGGAGAGUGGAAUUCCAUGUGUAGCGGUGAAAUGCGUAGAUAUAUGGAGGAACACCAGUGGCGAAGGCGGCUCUCUGGUCU